AAGUCGUAACAAGGUCUCCGUUGGUGAACCAGCGGAGGGAUCAUUAUCGAGUGUUACAACUCCCAAACCCUUUGUGAACCAUACAAAUUUGCUCGACGACGAACCAGCGCCUGCAACUCUUGUUUUCGCAGCGAGUAUCUCUGAGUGCACAAGCUAAAAAUGAAUUCAAAACUUUCAACAACGGAUCUCUUGGUUCUGGCAUCGAUGAUAGAACGCAGCGAAAUGCGAUAAGUAAUGUGAAUUGCAGAAUUCAGUGAAUCAUCGAAUCUUUGAACGCACAUUGCGCCCGCCAGUACUCUGGCGGGCAUGCCUGUUCGAGCGUCAUUUCAACCCUCAGGCCCCGUAUCUCUCGGGCCUGGCUGUUGGGGAUCGGCCGCCUGGCAGCCCCACCGGCGCCGGCGUCCCCGAAAUGCAGUGGCGGUCACGCUGCGGCAUCCUCCUGCGUAGUAGCACAACACUCGCACCGGAUCGCAGGCGCGGCCACGCCGUAAAGCGGGCGCGAGCCCAACUUCUUCAAGGUUGACCUCGGAUCAGGUAGGAAUACUCGCUGAACUUAA
This 557-nucleotide ribosomal RNA is filed under the name uncultured fungus. RNAcentral's name for it is "eukaryotic LSU rRNA". The stretch from base 170 to 324 matches the Rfam family "5.8S ribosomal RNA". Lineage: Eukaryota; Fungi. The record is from RNAcentral.